RNAcentral lists this long non-coding RNA (6952 nucleotides) under Zea mays. Its description in RNAcentral is "long non-coding RNA (ZMAY_LNC000844)". Lineage: Eukaryota; Viridiplantae; Streptophyta; Magnoliopsida; Poales; Poaceae. The record is from RNAcentral.
CGUGGAAAUAGAGGAGAGAAAUGAAUAUUAUUCAAUAUAGAAAAUUAGUAUAACUAAAUAACUUCAUCAUAUGUUGGUGUGGCCAAAUUGCAUGGUUAACACGGAUUCGAAUUUGCACUUAAGCUGAGUUCAAAAUUCGAAUUCAAAUGAAUUAUAAAUAAAGAAAAACAGGAAAUAUCAAAAGAAAAAGGAAUAAGGAUCAGACUCACAUGGGCCCAAAUCAGUCACUCGGCCCAUUAAAUCCCCCCCCCCACGCGGCCCAGCCGUGGAUUCCGCGUGCGCCUGGUGUUGUUGCACGCCUGACAGAUGGGCCCGUGCGCAGUCACGUGCCCUUUGUCUCUGCCGCGCGGGUCCCGCUGGCCGGCUUUACAGGGCUCAAGCGCAUCCUUCUUCAGCCACUUACCGGUGGGGCCGUCCUGCCAUCACCUUCUUCCUUGCUCCGUGCUCCUCCCAACGGAGUCCGCUGAUAUCGCGUGGAAUCCGGACAAGAUUGCCCACCGCCCCAGCUCCAGCCUUCCUCCCUUCCUGUUCCGCACAAUCACCUGGGCGUGUCGUCCGCUGCCUCUGGUGCGUGGGCCCCGCGCCAUAGAAUCGUCUCCUACCCCAGAAACAGAACACGCAUAGCUCCGUAUGUGCCGCCGCGCGAAUUCCGCGCUCAGCUGUAACCACCGCGGAUCCUCUUCCCCCAUCGCGGACUCCGGUCCCAGCUAUAAAAUGCUCAGCCUCGCGUCCUCCUUAGGCCAUAGACUCGAACCGAGCUCGCACACCUUGUCCAGAAACAAAGAUUGGGGGGAAAAUCGGGCCGCCAUCGUGGGACAGCCACCUUGGCGUCGUCUGGCAUCCAAAAAUCGGGCUGGGGGUGUGCGCAUCAGCUCAGGGGUGUUCUCCGGUGAGACAUUUUGUGCCGUGGGGUAUGGUUCAACUGCGAUUUCUCGCCGGACAUGGGAUUCCGCCGCAGAACCACUCCUUACCGUGGCCGGUGCGUCUGGGGGCAUGGACUGCGUCAUGGGUCCCCUUGACUCGAUCGCCUUGUCACUCUCGUCGUGUUGCACCAUCCACGUCGAGGUUUGGGCGGUUGUGCGGGGAUCCUGUGGGUUGCGGCCAUGGCACCACCGCGAUGGCGACGGCGUCACCGCCUGGUCUCGGCGUGGGGAGGAAGACACACGAUCGCCGUUGAUCUUCUGAUGAGCGGGCUGGAUUAAAACAAGGUAACGCUUCGCCCGGACUCGUCCAGCGCCGUAGAUCUGGGAUCGUAGGGCCGCUGGCACGCGUAAUAUAUUAACCGUAGAUCUUGGAUCGGGCGAAUGCGAUCGCGUACCGGUUCAUUACAGUAUGGAUCUAAUCCUGACCGCUGAUUCAGAAUCCAUCGGCCGAAAUCAGCCCAUACCCCCUUCGCUGCGGCCAUUUUCAAAAAGAGCCCCUCGGCUUAUUCCGAAUCAACCCGCCGUCCUCGCGGGAGUAGGCUGAGUCUGGUAUAUUUUACAGAAUAAACCCCAACCUUCUCUGUAUUAGUGCGCCCAGUCCAGGAAGUUAAGAAAUCAGAUAAAAGGUUUUAGAAAAUGAUUUUUAAUGCAAAAAUAAAGGCUAGAAUUUGUUUAAUUCAUAAGAAAUUCAUAUGAAGUCCAAAUUAAUCCAUUCCAAUUCCUAUAAUCCUAUAAUAAUGUUGUUUAUUACCCUGUAUCUUUGUUUUGACAUGAAAAUGGUAUUAAAAUUUAUCUCUUAAUUAAUCUCGUAUCAAAUACAUAAAACCUUAGGAAAUUCAUAACUCCUCCGUUUUAACUCCGAUUUGAUCCGUUCAAGUUGUGUUAGUCUCGUAGCUACGCGUAGAUUAUUAUUAUUCAGUUUGUUCUUAUGUUUGGUGUGAUGUUAAUUUUAUCUAUACCAUAUUUGUUUGUAUUGCUACGACUAGCGCGAGGACACGUGUCAUCUGAAAAGCAAGUUGGUACCUGGAAUCUCAAGUCCCAGGCAAGUUGUGCCCUUGAUCACUUCUUUUUACCCAGCCAUGUUCUGAUUAAUCAUAAUGAUCUGCAUAGGUUAAUUUUGAUGGGACCCAAUAGGUUACCCUAGUUUGAUUAUCUUUAUACCUUGUUACCACUGAACUUUUUGGGUAGUACUUGCUAGUGCUUUAUAUGGUUUUGGGUAUGAAGAUACAUUACUCAUGAUUAUACUUUUGUUAUCCGUUGUUAUUUAUCGUUCAUGAUAAGAUCAUUAUGUUAAUUGGAACAUGGAGCGACCACCCGGGAAAACAGUGCUACCACAAGGGUAUAAUGGGACGCCCUUGGCUGAUUAAUUAGGAAAGCUAGUGGAGGACUACCUUACCCGAAAGGGGCAAGGGCAGUAGGGGAGUGGUCAGUGUAGGGAGACCCUCGGGAGGAUUUUGCUGCGAUGGUGGUCCUGCAAGGGAAUUCCUGCAUUGGAGCUUCCUAUAAACUGUAGCGGGUUUUCUGAAGCUAGUGGAACUUUGUAAAGGCCUCGUAGUGUUACCCUGCCUCGCCUCCUCGGUAGAGGUGUAUGGGAAGUCGCGAUCCCUUGGCAGAUGGGUAACAUGACUUGUGGGUAAAGAUGUGCCACCUCUGCAGAGUGUAAAACUGGUAUACUAGCCGUGCUCACGGUCAUGAGCAGCUCGGACCCUCACAUGAUUAAAUUAUGGAACUUAAACUCAAUUUGUCAUAUGCAUUGCAUCGCAGGUGAGGUUGUUACUUUUGUUCUACUAUUUAAUUGGGUUGGUAUUUACUUAUACUUAGUAAUUGCUAAUAAAAUUUUGACCCACUUUAAAAGCAAUGCUCAGCUCUAACCAUCCUCUUUGGUAAGCCUUACACUUCACGUGAGCUCCCACCUUUGGCGAGUUCAUGCACAUUAUUCCCCACAACUUGUUGAGCGAUGAACGUAUGUGAGCUCACUCUUGCUGUCUCACACCCCCCCCCCCCACAGGUCAAGAACAGGUACCGCAGGAUGAGGCGCGUGGAGGAUGCUGUGAUGAGUUCGUGAGUGGUCUAGGUCGUCGUCUCCCAGUCAACUUUGGGUUGCUGGACCGUUGUCUCCAUAUAAUGUAAUUAUUUAUUUUUGUAUAGAACUCCUGUUAUGUAGUAAAGUUGUGACAUUCGAUCCUGUGCCAUGAUUCAUCAUAUGUGUGAGACUUGGUCCCAGCACACCUGGUGUUUAUGUUCGCGCCCGGGUUUUGGAUCCCUAAAAUCCGGGUGUGACAGAAGUGGUAUCAGAGGAAUGUUGACUGUAGGACGAAACCUAGAUAGAACUGGACAACCAAUACUUACUUACCUUUGCUACUCUGAUUCUUUCUAAACUCUUCUUAAUCUUUUCUCAUCUAUUUCCGCUUUACUCUGAUUAUUCUUGCCUUUUCCUUCUAAAGACAAAUGGGGAUUUCACACUUUGAAAUCCAGUGCCUAAAGUGACUUUUAGGAAUAGGAGACCUACUCUUAGGAACAAAAAAAACAAAACUAUUUUUUUUAUCUAUAUGCUUGAAUGUUUGUUCUUGUGAUACAUGUCUGAUUUGGAUCUUUGAUUGAUUGUGAUGAGUUGUGGAGUAAUGUCCACGAUUACAUCUGCAUAUACAUAUAGGAAAAAAAUGCUUAUAAAAAAAUAUAACUAGAUAAACUAGAUAAUCCCUCAUUAAAGUAUCUAGCCUAACAAUAUCCAUCUCAUCUUGAAAGCUUCUAUCCUACACUCAUAGAUCCAUCUUAUCUUAAAAGAUACUCUAUCUUGAAAAGAUUUUAUCUCAUCCUAAUAGAUCUAACUGGCCUUAAAAGAUUCUAUCUUAUCUUUAUGGAUCCAUCUUAUCCUAAUAAGCAUACUUAUCCACCCUAGUUUAACAACCAUGAUCUAAUGUAAAUUAAUUAGAUCUUAUCUAGUCAAACUAGUCAUACCAAUCUAAUCUAGAUCCCAUCUAACCUAAUAUGAUCUAAUCUAAAGUGAGUUACUUAAUGGACCAGUUAAUACUUGUGAAAUAGAUUAGACCCUCUCCACAUGUUUUAACUUAGUUCACCCUACACUGAAUAAAGAAUGAGAGACCAACCCAACCAAUAGAGUCUUGAUGGAUUGUAUGAUCUACCUAUCCCCACCUAACAUCAAACAAACUUUUGACCUACAUCAUGUAGUCUAUCCCAUCCAUACCUAUCUUAACCAUAUUUCCCAGCCCAAUAAUAUACACUAACUCCUAAUCAAUGAGACAAGACCGAAGAAGAUGAUCAACCUCAUCAAGGAAGGAGAGAAGUCAAACUCGAUCUUCAGAUGCAUUACCACCCAUCAAGGAGUUAUUUCUCACCAUAAACCUUCUUACACCAGGAUAUUCUUGCCCUAACCUACCCAUCUUUUAUAAUAAAAUGACUAUACAUAUAGAUACCCAUGCUUUCCUAGUCACUUUCUAAAACUUCUUAUUCUUAAACUAAUUAGAAGUUAAAGGCUAAACUAUAAAUAAAGUUUUUAACAUCCCUUUUCUUACAAAUCUCGAGGACGAGAUUUUUGUUAAGGGGGGUAGGAUUUGUAACACCCAGUUUGUAACAUAUAAUAAAAGAGGAGAAAUUAAUUCCUUUAUCUAUAAGUGUGUUAUUUCUACUGACCAUCAUAUGUGAACACCCCCACUUACACAAUUAAAUAAAUACCCCAAAGACACCUAAAUAAAUCUUGCAUCAUGCUAAGUUUUUUUACUUGAUUGUGCAUUGUGUUUAAUAAAAUAAAUAUGUCAUUAACAACAUAUCAAUGGAUCCAUAAAACAUAAUUUAAACUCUAACUUGAAAAUAAAACCGUGGAAAUAGAGGAGAGAAAUGAAUAUUAUUCAAUAUAGAAAAUUAGUAUAACUAAAUAACUUCAUCAUAUGUUGGUGUGGCCAAAUUGCAUGGUUAACACGGAUUCGAAUUUGCACUUAAGCUGAGUUCAAAAUUCGAAUUCAAAUGAAUUAUAAAUAAAGAAAAACAGGAAAUAUCAAAAGAAAAAGGAAUAAGGAUCAGACUCACAUGGGCCCAAAUCAGUCACUCGGCCCAUUAAAUCCCCCCCACGCGGCCCAGCCGUGGAUUCCGCGUGCGCCUGGUGUUGUUGCACGCCUGACAGAUGGGCCCGUGCGCAGUCACGUGCCCUUUGUCUCUGCCGCGCGGGUCCCGCUGGCCGGCUUUACAGGGCUCAAGCGCAUCCUUCUUCAGCCACUUACCGGUGGGGCCGUCCUGCCAUCACCUUCUUCCUUGCUCCGUGCUCCUCCCAACGGAGUCCGCUGAUAUCGCGUGGAAUCCGGACAAGAUUGCCCACCGCCCCAGCUCCAGCCUUCCUCCCUUCCUGUUCCGCACCAUCACCUGGGCAUGUCGUCCGCUGCCUCUGGUGCGUGGGCCCCGCGCCAUAGAAUCGUCUCCUACCCCAGAAACAGAACACGCAUAGCUCCGUAUGUGCCGCCGCGCGAAUUCCGCGCUCAGCUGUAACCACCGCGGAUCCUCUUCCCCCAUCGCGGACUCCGGUCCCAGCUAUAAAAUGCUCAGCCUCGCGUCCUCCUUAGGCCAUAGACUCGAACCGAGCUCGCACACCUUGUCCAGAAACAAAGAUUGGGGGGAAAAUCGGGCCGCCAUCGUGGGACAGCCACCUUGGCGUCGUCUGGCAUCCAAAAAUCGGGCUGGGGGUGUGCGCAUCAGCUCAGGGGUGUUCUCCGGUGAGACAUUUUGUGCCGUGGGGUAUGGUUCAACUGCGAUUUCUCGCCGGACAUGGGAUUCCGCCGCAGAACCACUCCUUACCGUGGCCGGUGCGUCUGGGGGCAUGGACUGCGUCAUGGGUCCCCUUGACUCGAUCGCCUUGUCACUCUCGUCGUGUUGCACCAUCCACGUCGAGGUUUGGGCGGUUGUGCGGGGAUCCUGUGGGUUGCGGCCAUGGCACCACCGCGAUGGCGACGGCGUCACCGCCUGGUCUCGGCGUGGGGAGGAAGACACACGAUCGCCGUUGAUCUUCUGAUGAGCGGGCUGGAUUAAAACAAGGUAACGCUUCGCCCGGACUCGUCCAGCGCCGUAGAUCUGGGAUCGUAGGGCCGCUGGCACGCGUAAUAUAUUAACCGUAGAUCUUGGAUCGGGCGAAUGCGAUCGCGUACCGGUUCAUUACAGUAUGGAUCUAAUCCUGACCGCUGAUUCAGAAUCCAUCGGCCGAAAUCAGCCCAUACCCCCUUCGCUGCGGCCAUUUUCAAAAAGAGCCCCUCGGCUUAUUCCGAAUCAACCCGCCGUCCUCGCGGGAGUAGGCUGAGUCUGGUAUAUUUUACAGAAUAAACCCCAACCUUCUCUGUAUUAGUGCGCCCAGUCCAGGAAGUUAAGAAAUCAGAUAAAAGGUUUUAGAAAAUGAUUUUUAAUGCAAAAAUAAAGGCUAGAAUUUGUUUAAUUCAUAAGAAAUUCAUAUGAAGUCCAAAUUAAUCCAUUCCAAUUCCUAUAAUCCUAUAAUAAUGUUGUUUAUUACCCUGUAUCUUUGUUUUGACAUGAAAAUGGUAUUAAAAUUUAUCUCUUAAUUAAUCUCGUAUCAAAUACAUAAAACCUUAGGAAAUUCAUAACUCCUCCGUUUUAACUCCGAUUUGAUCCGUUCAAGUUGUGUUAGUCUCGUAGCUACGCGUAGAUUAUUAUUAUUCAGUUUGUUCUUAUGUUUGGUGUGAUGUUAAUUUUAUCUAUACCAUAUUUGUUUGUAUUGCUACGACUAGCGCGAGGACACGUGUCAUCUGAAAAGCAAGUUGGUACCUGGAAUCUCAAGUCCCAGGCAAGUUGUGCCCUUGAUCACUUCUUUUUACCCAGCCAUGUUCUGAUUAAUCAUAAUGAUCUGCAUAGGUUAAUUUUGAUGGGACCCAAUAGGUUACCCUAGUUUGAUUAUCUUUAUACCUUGUUACCACUGAACUUUUUGGGUAGUACUUGCUAGUGCUUUAUAUGGUUUUGGGUAUGAAGAUACAUUACUCAUGAUUAUACUUUUGUUAUCCGUUGUUAUUUAUCGUUCA